UACAUUGGCCGCCCUGGACUUUCUUGUGGAGGAAGGGCGAGAAUGAAACCCUCGAUACUGCUAGAGGAGCCGCCGGAGUCGUGCAAAGGAAGGUGACCGGGACCCCAGCGCGGAUGAAAUCAACAAAGCACAGCGGAGAACCAAAAAGAGCCGGCUGACCCUUCUCCGCACGCAACCCCGCUGCGCCGCCACCACCCUCAAACUAGGAAAUCGAUUUCAUGUUGCUGUUUGCAGCCCGUAUCUGUUUGUGAAGCCGGCCUCUCUAUUGAUGGCCAACGGGAAGGAUUACAUAAUGUGGGCAGAAAUCUGCUACUCUCAUGAAAGAACACCUAUAUGUACAGAACCGUCAGAGAAGAUGCCUCCAGUCCUCGCGUUGUCUGAUCUGCUCCCCUUUCCUUGUGUUUACAACGCGGGAUUUUUUGACGCUUCUUUAUUUCCUUGGCUCCUUUGGCUUUUGGAGCCCAGUAGAUAAAUACCUUAAAUUGAAAUAGCCCCAUCAAUGAAAAAAUAGUCAACAAAACAUACAAUGUAAGGGAAGUGAGCAGAGCAACUCUACCUACUAAUUCUCCAACUAGAAACUGUAAUGGCCACCAUCCAGUGCAUCGUUCAUGUUCCAUAUAGCACAAGCCUAUUCGUGUCUACUGAGAAGUAAAUCCCGUUGAGUUCAAUAGGACUUGGUACCAA
Long non-coding RNA from Podarcis raffonei (Aeolian wall lizard), 684 nucleotides. RefSeq lists it as uncharacterized. The transcript is spliced from 3 exons. The record is from RefSeq and is a predicted model, not a curated record. NCBI's taxonomy places the organism in Eukaryota, Metazoa, Chordata, Lepidosauria, Squamata, Lacertidae.